CAGCCAGACUCCUACGGGAGGCAGCAGUGGGGAAUCUUCCGCAAUGGGCGAAAGCCUGACGGAGCAACGCCGCGUGAUCGAAUGAAGGCCUUCGGGUUGUAAAGAUCUGUUGACAGGGACGAAUAAGCAAUGCGAAUAGUUUUGUGUAUGACGGUACCUGUUUAGAAAGCUCCGGCUAACUACGUGCCAGCAGCCGCGGUAAUACGUAGGGAGCAAGCGUUGUCCGGAAUUACUGGGCGUAAAGGGCGCGUAGGUGGGCGCUUAAGUCAGGUGUGAAAACUCCGGGCUCAACCUGGAGACUGCACUUGAAACUGCGUGGCUGGAGUGCAGGAGGGGCAGGCGGAAUUCCUGGUGUAGCGGUGAAAUGCGUAGAUAUCAGGAGGAACACCGGUGGCGAAGGCGGCCUGCUGGGCUUUUACUGACGCUGAGGCUCGAAAGUGUGGGGAGCAAACAGGAUUAGAUUCCCUUGUA
RNAcentral lists this ribosomal RNA (471 nucleotides) under uncultured bacterium. Its description in RNAcentral is "bacterial SSU rRNA". It matches the Rfam family "Bacterial small subunit ribosomal RNA", at positions 328 to 792 of the family's 1533-position model. The record is from RNAcentral.